UGGAUCACUUGGCUCGAUGGUCGACGAAGAACGCAGUGAAUUNCGUUAAUAAGUGCGAAUUACAGAUNUCCNGAGCACCAUGUUUCUGAAUGCAUANUGCGCCGUUGGNUUUUACUCUUCGGCAUAUGUUAGUCAGGGUGUAUUU
This 145-nucleotide ribosomal RNA is filed under the name Potensaphelenchus stammeri. RNAcentral's name for it is "Aphelenchoides stammeri partial 5.8S ribosomal RNA". It matches the Rfam family "5.8S ribosomal RNA". From Rfam's summary of the family: 5.8S ribosomal RNA (5.8S rRNA) is a component of the large subunit of the eukaryotic ribosome. It is transcribed by RNA polymerase I as part of the 45S precursor that also contains 18S and 28S rRNA. Functionally, it is thought that 5.8S rRNA may be involved in ribosome translocation. The record is from RNAcentral. Lineage: Eukaryota; Metazoa; Nematoda; Chromadorea; Rhabditida; Aphelenchoididae.